AUUGAACGCUGGCGGCAGGCCUAACACAUGCAAGUCGAGCGGAUGAAGGGAGCUUGCUCCUGGAUUCAGCGGCGGACGGGUGAGUAAUGCCUAGGAAUCUGCCUGGUAGUGGGGGAUAACGUCCGGAAACGGGCGCUAAUACCGCAUACGUCCUGAGGGAGAAAGUGGGGGAUCUUCGGACCUCACGCUAUCAGAUGAGCCUAGGUCGGAUUAGCUAGUUGGUGGGGUAAAGGCCUACCAAGGCGACGAUCCGUAACUGGUCUGAGAGGAUGAUCAGUCACACUGGAACUGAGACACGGUCCAGACUCCUACGGGAGGUAGCAGUGGGGAGUAUUGGACAAUGGGCGAAAGCCUGAUCCAGCCAUGCCGCGUGUGUGAAGAAGGUCUUCGGAUUGUAAAGCACUUUAAGUUGGGAGGAAGGGCAGUAAGUUAAUACCUUGCUGUUUUGACGUUACCAACAGAAUAAGCACCGGCUAACUUCGUG
Molecule: ribosomal RNA, 484 nt
Filed under: uncultured bacterium
Lineage: Bacteria
Description: partial 16S ribosomal RNA
Rfam family: Bacterial small subunit ribosomal RNA
Source: RNAcentral